CAAUAAUCUUUGGGCCACUUCCUUUCUGUUCGCACAUUCGGAAAUUUACUUAAUUGCGACUAGUGGAGCCUCAAAUAUGGAUCUGCUUUAGCCUCUGCCUUUCACUUAGGCGAGGGAAGGCCGACGUGGAACAGACUCACUCAGUGAUGAAAUGGGCGUGGUCUCGCCUAUGGCCGCCUCUUCGUCGUUGGAGUCCCGUCCGUCGUGAUGGUUACGCCGAUGCUUGGCCGUGUUUGGAAAAUCUGGCCCGCGAAUAUCUGGCUUGAUCUGGCCAGCGUCCUCCGGCGCUGGAUUCAGGCGUUGUGUGCCACCGAAUGGCUGCGGCUGUUCUAAUGGAGUACCCCCUUUCUUAUUGUUUUAAACGCCGCACGACGGUGUGUUAUUGUUUUUUGUAUUAUUGUUCUUGUGUACUGUUUCUUUUUGCACUACGUUAGUAGUAAAUGAAUUUUCUUUGCAAUAAAAUAAUAAAGAAAGCCCGUCGCGAAUAAA
Long non-coding RNA from Drosophila virilis, 489 nucleotides. RefSeq lists it as uncharacterized. The record is from RefSeq and is a predicted model, not a curated record. NCBI's taxonomy places the organism in Eukaryota, Metazoa, Arthropoda, Insecta, Diptera, Drosophilidae.